RNAcentral lists this ribosomal RNA (292 nucleotides) under uncultured prokaryote. RNAcentral's name for it is "partial 16S ribosomal RNA". It matches the Rfam family "Bacterial small subunit ribosomal RNA", at positions 505 to 796 of the family's 1533-position model. The record is from RNAcentral.
GUGUCAGCAGCCGCGGUAAUACGUAGGUGACAAGCGUUGUCCGGAAUUAUUGGGCGUAAAGGGAGCGCAGGCGGUUGGAAUAGUCUGAUGUGAAAGCCCACGGCUUAACCGUGGAAGGUCAUUGGAAACUGUCCAACUUGAAUACAGAAGAGGUAAGUGGAAUUCCAAGUGUAGCGGUGAAAUGCGUAGAUAUUUGGAGGAACACCAGUGGCGAAGGCGACUUACUGGUCUGUAAUUGACGCUGAGGCUCGAAAGCGUGGGUAGCAAACAGGAUUAGAAACCCUCGUAGUCC